Molecule: long non-coding RNA, 11106 nt
Filed under: Daucus carota (carrot)
Lineage: Eukaryota; Viridiplantae; Streptophyta; Magnoliopsida; Apiales; Apiaceae
Description: long non-coding RNA (DCAR_LNC006460)
Source: RNAcentral
UCCAGCAAUUAAUGGAGCUCUUUUAGAAGAUAGCAUGGAAGACAAGUACAGUGGGUCAGUGACGUGUGAGUUGUAUCAGUUUUUUAGGGUGGCGAUCGUUCAUAUACCUGAUGUGAGGUCGUCAGUGUUUAGGUGUAUAUAUAGUAAAGCGGCUAUGAAGAAGAGUUUUUGUUUAGAGAUAUUAUUACUGAUUGAAGAAAAUUUCAAUCAUGGAAAAGAUUAUAAAUUUACUGUGUUUUUGUAUCUUUUGGCUACACGAAUCUUGUUUAUUUCGUUUUGUUUGAGAAGUGUUUAGCACUUGUAGUGGAUUGGUGAUUUACUACUUGCCUCUUUAAAUGUAUUUUCUCCUGUUGGCGAGAUUAAUCUUCCCCUUUGUUUUUCUUGUAUAUCUGCCAGUGCUAACAUAAUUGAUUUGAUUUACGUACUUCAGAACACUGUUUAGCCCCGAUUGUAGUCUUAUUGUCGAACCAUCAGACAGGUGUUUCAUUUAAUCUGUUUGCGGCUUGGCAGCUUACUGAACAUUACCAAGAGGAAUUUUCAUGUGUAAACAAUCUUAACAACUUGAGGUAUUAACAAUAAAGUUUGUUAAACCUAAAAUUCUCUCCAGGCUCCAGAGUCGUCUCCCUUGCUUCUUUCUCCACUAUAAUCGCCGGGGCUACCAUCGGUUUUCUCCGAUGGAAAGCCCCAAUCUCUUGUUUUCUUUUCAUUUUUGAAUAAAAAUUCUUAGAUCAAAAUCAUUGGAGUAUCCGGAUUUUUGUCUUCUCCGAUCAAAUGGAUGGCUAUACGGUGUAGAGGGGUCCAGUUUUUCUUAUUUUUGUGGUUUGUUUUCUGGAUCUAAAGUUUGCUUUUAUUUUGUAAUUUUAAUUUAAUUUGUAAUUUCAGUUUCGUUGUGAUCUCUCCUCAGUGAGAGUUUUGGUACUUCUCUCCUUUGUUUGUGAGAGUAUGGUGUUGGAUUUAGUGACAAGAGUUUUUAUGGGAUCGCAAUUAUGGUCGAUAGUUCACACCGGAUUAGUUCCAACUGGAUAUGGUGAAGCGGGUACAUGUAAAUAUAUCAUCUUCAACUAAUGGCGAGAUACAAUGGGUUAAUUAGCUAUUGUUUCUGUUUUAUGGUUUGUUCGACGCGACAUUUUUGUAGAUGCCGUAUGUCUUUUCAUUAUUGAAUUGAUACUUACUCAAAAAAAAAAAGAAUAUAGUGAAAAGCUUUAGUUUGAAAAAAGGAUUAAUUAUCAACUAAAGAUAUCAUUGGUCACUCACUAAACUGAUUUAGUGGUAUAAAAAACUUAGCUAACAGAUAUAAUGAACUAAACUCACUAAACUGAUUUAGUGGUGUCAAAAACUUAGCUAACAAAUAUAAUGAACUAUAUAUUAAAUCAAAAUUGAACAUUACUGAUAUUUUCUUGUAGUGGGUUGGCAAGAAAAUUCUAAACCUCCUUUUUAAUUUUCUUAGUGUUUUUGGGUUUUAAAUUACAUUUACAAUUUUUAAUAAAUUAUUAUCGAAUACACACACAUAUAGAAGCUAAAUCAAGUAAAAAUGUACCUUGUAAUGAAAAUUAGAAAUUACUCUUAAAAAUUACAUUAUUCUUUUUUUUUUGAAAGCAAAGAUUACAUUAUUCUUAAUCAUAUAUUUAUAUAAAUAAUAUAUAUACUCAUGUUAUAUAUACUUAAAAAUCAAAAAGGAGAAAGAGGUAAAUAAAUAAAUAUAUAAAUAUUUGUAUUUUUAAUAUUAUUGCUCAUGUUUAUAUAAAUAACUUAUUUAUAUAUGAUUUUUUAUAACAUGAAAAAAAGACACAUGGAUAAAUUCUUGUAUAUAUUAGUUAACAACAUAGUUAAAUUAAAUAAUACUCCCUCUAUCCCAACAGAUUUUUUAUAUAAAAUAUAAUUUCAUAAUAUUUUUUUAAUUUCUUAAAUAAAAUUAAAUGUUUAAAUUUUAAUAAAAAAUGUAAUAACUAAAACGUUUAGGGAAGUAAGAUAUCCGUGCAAAUAAUGAACAAGAACAGGAAGCGGGAGUAUAAUAUAAACGGAUUUUCAAGUGUGUGCCCACACACCGACAACCAUUUUUCUGUUGAAGUAGAGAAUUUUUAUUGGCCAAAACUUCAAUAAUAAUCAUUACUCUUUUUAAAUGAAAAGAAAAAAUAGCCAAUAAAAACCAUCCACCUGUUUUAAUAAAAAAAAUUUCGAAAAAAGUAUAAUAUAAUAAAAGUCCAUCAAAUACAUUCUAAAUUACAUAAUAUUUUUUAGUAUAUAAAAAAUCACAACGCCUCGCACUUUAAUCGAAUAUUUUAUAUCUUAAUAUUUAAUAAUCAAAUCAAAAUAAUUAUAUAGCUAAGCGACUCUGGUGUUUUGAUCAAAUAAUUUUAUAUUUUAAAAAUUUACAACCAAUAGUAAUUUAUAUACAAUUCGAAGUUAUUAAAUUUUUGAAUAACUUGCAUCAAAACCAGCCACAGUUUGGUUUCCUGCAUCUCUUUGAGUCAUCAUCUUUUGUAUAUUGCAAUCUGGAGGUUCCAUUUUCAGAUGUUAUGUGUAUCUGAUUGGUAGAAACCUUCCCUUCUGCGUGUAUUUUGGGUAUUGGACUUGAUCAGGAUCUAAAAAAAAUCCGGUCAGCUUGCCUGCCUUGCUUACUCGGUGUCUCUUGACAAAAGGUGCAUCAGGCGUGCUUCCUAUGUUGCCUUUUAUGGUGGCUGUAUCCACAAUUUUCUGUUAAUUUUAUUCUUUUCUAAUCUUCCAGAUUUAUAUGAAAGGUAAAAGAAUGUAGGGUAAAGAAUUUCUUUAGAAGACUAAUCCCUAUAAAUUUAACAAUCUCUUCAUAAUUUCAUAAACACGGAUCAAAAUUAAUAACCAAAAUGUAACCAUACAUAAAGAAAGAUCAAAAUUGACAAAUUACCCGGGCAAAUCAGCAAACACUUUAUGAACGGGAGUCUAAACUGGAAAAUAACAAUCACAUUGACAGCGGCGGCAUUGCAAUUAGAAGGAAGGCUGGGGUCAAUUACUUGUCCAGGUCACUUACUGUACAUUUCACGCAUCAAAAACUAUUAUAUAGAUAGAUGGUACUAUCUGGAACAGAGAUUGGCAUCUAAAGAUGAACAACAUAGAUUAGUAUCUUAUUCGAAAAUUAAGAAUCAGAAAAAAAAUAAAUUUAGUGCUUACUUGUUAAUACCAUCAGAAGAGUAACCCCUAACACCUCCAAAAACAACUAAUACAUAAUCAACAUCUAGUGAUCUUAUUAUCUCAUAUGCUUCAUCCUCAUAAGAUGACAUUGCACGUCCAAGUUCGAACUGAGCUAUGUGGGUAUUGUUCCAGGUGUUAUUGUCCACAAUCACAGUUCUGUUCCCCAUCGCAAUCGCAAUCGCAGUGAUCUGAUAUCCGUAGUCCCACGACUCCCACCAGGACAUCACCUUGGCACCCUGAGGAGUAUUCUGCCGCAACCAAAAAUAUGCUUUGCUGUAAUCAUCAAAAAUGAUCCUUUGUCCAUUGUGACCCCUUGCAGCUAAGACAAUAGAUGGAGAUUAAUAUGCCACCCAAGUACAAUGUAUAGCAUAUCUACUAAUUUUGUAAAAGGCACCCACAAGAAGUGGUGUAGCAGCAUUUUUCUGGAAAGGCAGAGAUUGAUUGCCCAAACACUGUUCGUUCAAUAAAUGCAGAUAAAUAUUCUUUUGCGUCUGACUAACAGCUAGACACAACUCUCGUGCACGUCUUUAUCGCUCUGUGCACUUGCGUGUGUAUGUGCACACCUCUUUCAUAUUCUAUUCUUAGAUAUGUAAAAUAUAAGUAACCGACAUUUGCUGAAUCUCUCAAUAUAAGAGUAUUUAGAUUAUAUUUCAAAAUUAUAAAGCUUAAAUUUCAACUAAGGAAGCUUAGAGUAGAAAUUCAAAGCCUGAAUCAUAAGCAAAGAAGCUCAGAUGCUAGAUGCACAAUGCUCUGGACUCCAUUUACUUACAAAUUAUUAGACCACGGAAUAGAUAGAUUGUGACAUUCAGGCCAUUGAUUCAAAAACAUUAAAGUUCACUUCUUGAAAUUUUAUUUACAUUUUGGUCCCAUUCAAGGUCGAUAGUCCUACUAUAUGCUUACACUGCUACUACAGUUUGAUCAUUCCUUUAAAAUAACAGCAAAGACAAUAAAAUAAACAUAAAAGAAAAACGCCGACACAGUCAAGCAUAAGACACAAACCUGGGCAGGAGGUAAAGAUGACACCCAGUCUGAUGCAUGGGUUGGAAGAAGACCAAAAGUAUUGAGCUGCCACAAGUAGUGUGAAAUGAACAAACCCCUCAGAUUAUAUCCAAAUAAUUGAUGUACCACAUAUAUGAGAUGGAUAUUUUCUUACUUUCCAGACGCCACGUGCUAGAGCGGCCAAAUUAAACGCAAUGUAGAGUAGUUUGGGACCAAGGAGAUCAACUAUCCCAUCCUUGUAAGGCUCGAAAACUGUAACAGAAGUUUUAAAAAAGACCUACUUGAGAUGCAGAAUUAACAUAAUGCGCACACGAUAACAUAGGGCGAUAACAUAGAGGUAUAGCAUAAAAAUGCUAAAACUUGAGUAUAACUAUUUAUUCAAGCUAUUUGAUAAUAUCAAUUAGAAGUUACUAACAAACAAAAUCCGAAUAUAGAUGCUUCUGCAAUAAUGUUGUCAAUUUCUGCGACAUUAGAAAAUUUCUGCCAGUCAGAACUUCUUACCACUCGGAACUUCCCCAAUAAUGUUGUCAAUUUCUGCGACAUUAGAAAAUUGUGCACUGCAUCUGUAUAGUUGGUUGUGGACAUUAUAGAUGCUUCUGCAAUAGUUCCAUUGUCUUCCUCGUACAUAUCCUUACUAAUCUUGAACGAACAUGCCAAAUGAUUAUCACUGUGAAAGUAAUAAUCCAGCAAGCACCACAUGGCUCUUCCAUCAGCAAAUUGAAGCAAAGUUAUCAACCUUCCGGUUGUAAUUUUCACAUAUUGCCUACCACUCACAUGUAAAACAAUGUCACAUCAAUGAAGAAGGUAUUUUAAAGCAGUAACGAUGCAUUUCUUUAAAUUUUGACUCCUGUUAUAAAGUUAUAGACAGUCAAAUAACCUGGAUCCAAUGCAGAAGCAUGUCCAUUGGAGUGCAUGUGUUCGGUUGCUCCUAAAUGAGUAGAGAUCACAUAGAACCGAUCAGAAUCUACUCCUAAAUGAGUAGUGCAUGUUUCCAUUAAGGUGCUGUCCUUGUAGGACUCUCAAGGUGUCGAACUCUGCAAUUGCCUCAUCAAAAGCUUGUUUAGCUAAAUGAAACGGCCUGCAUUACCAACCAAUACAACUGAACCACAGUUUUAAAGGAUAAACACGGAACAAAGAGGAUUGAGGAAUCCGCAUAGGAAACCUCUCAAGGGAAUUCAUUAUCUCGUAGUAGAAGACGGAGAAAUUCAGAGCAAGCCAUAGGACAAAAUCAAAACUAUGUAAAGUGUGAUGCACAGGUGUGUUGUUUAAUUUAUUAAAACAUUUCUAAUUCAAUAUAUAUAUAUAUAUAUAUAUAUAUAUAUAUCUUAUAUAGAGUUACGUAGCACACCAUUAUAAAUAUACACAUAAUAUAUAUUUUAUUAUAUUUUUUAUGAAAUAUAAUUGCAAAUUUUGAUUAUUAAACCGAAAACGAAGUUAUACAAUUUUUUUAUUCCAAAGAUCAUCUAAAAUUAUGCAAUAUCUCAACAUGAUUCUAUAACAGAAUAAUAAUCAUCCAGAAUUAUUCUGUUGUAGAAUCAGUUUCGAAAAUAUACUUUUUUUCAUCAAAUUUUAAGUUUUAAAUUAAUUAAAAUAGAUAUAUUUUAUAGUAUUCUAUAUUAGAAUCACGUUUUAUAUGUAUUUUAUAACAGAAUUUAUAAUAAAAUUGAUGAUUUAUAGUGGCGCACUAUGUAACUCCAUAUAAGGAGUCCCUCUCUUGAAUGUUGGCCUAUAUAUAUAUAUAUUCAUGCCCCAUAGCCUUUCAAUGAAUUGUAGGAUCAUUCUUUCUUUGCCUGGUCAGUCUUGAACUCAGCAAGAUAUCGAUAGUAGUCACCCUUUCUGUAUUGAUGCAGCCAUGAAGCAAGACAGCCCAGUUAAAGAAUUAAACAGAAAUAGUGUGCAGAAGACUUGAAACAACAAUAAACCAAUCAUUAGAUCAUUCUGCAAUUCUGCAUGAUAACAUAGUAUGAAUAUAACCCAUUAAACCUCCAACCUUCAAAUCUCCAUAAAUACUAUCAAAUCAUGAAUAUUAAUAACAUAGUAUGAAAAAGUUAGUGUGUCGGAUACAAAAAAGCCCUUAAAAUUGACAAAUUUACCAUAUUUGUUCUUUUGGGCAAAUCAUCAAACACUUUAUCAACAAAAGUUUAACCUGCAACUAUAAGACAAAAAAAUCAUCAGAAAACUAAUAAUUGAAAUAGAGAAUACAAAAGAGAGAAACAUAAUAAAGACUCCAGCAAGAACAAAAAACGGAAAGAGAGAGAGAGCGCAGAACAUACUGAAAGAUAGGCAAAUUAAUUAGACAACACCGUGUAUCAUGUCUACAGAUGCCAUGAAUCUAAUUUAAUUAGACAACAUUAUGCAUAUAUAUAAAACAGGAGAACAUCAGAGUGUACUAGAGCCGGCCAUUCGGGCGGUUUGGCUCGGCCCGAACUGGACCGAACCGUCAUUUAGCCCGUAUUUUAACGUGCCGGUUCGAACCGGCCCGAACCGGCACGAACCGUGGUUGCCGACGAACCGGUUACGGUUCCUAAAUCUUCGAUUCGCAAACCGUCAAAAACCGGCACGUCAAAACCGUUCCAACCCGUUCAACCCGCGUCAAACCACCAGCCCGUGUGAACCGCCAGCUUGUGUGACCUGAUGGAGUAACUUCAAACACAACAUCUAUCAACCAUUUGACUAGUAAAAGAAUUACCAACUGCAUUCACAUAAUAUUAAGUAGAAUACUAGCAUAUUUAAGAGUCUCUUUUUAUUUUCAUUUUCAGCCAGUGUCUCGAUCAUAAUUUAACAAUAGCAUUUAAUGAUGAUUGUUUUUAAUCUAUUAAGCAACUAACUAAUCCAAUAUUUAAAGAGACUUCAGAAAAGGCUCAAGUGGUUUACAAUUUAUAAAACUUAUUAUCGAAUUUUUAAAAUUUAAAUUUAAAAUUUAUAAAACAAAUAAAUAUUUAAAUUAUUUAUUAGUUUACAAUUUAUUAAAAAUUAGUCAUAUAAAACUUUAUUAUUGAAUUUUUAUAAUUUAAGAAUUAUUAAAAUUUAAACAUGUAACUAUAAACCAAAAUAAAUUAAAAAAAGAAAAAGAAAAACACAUGCACGCACUCAUAGUCUACGACUUGUUUUGAGAGUUGUAGUCUGCCUGCCAAGUGCCAACUGCUAUAGUGCUGUAACCUAUAAGCCUAUGUUCACAGACCACUAAGCACAACUGAAGUAAUUGAACCGCAAACCCACCGAACCGUAGAAACCGUGUGAACCGUAUUUCACGGUUACGGUUUCCAAAUUUUCAGCCCGGCCCGGUCCGAACCGGACCGUCAGUAUUGGCGUGCCGAUUACGGUUCCACCGGUGACGGUUCGAAAACCGCAUGAACCGGCCCGAACCGCCCCGGCCCGCCCGAAUGGCCGGGUCUAGAGUGUACAGACCUUGCUCAUUAUUCGCGCGGAAAAAAGGGAAGAGCAAUACACUGAUAUCUGAGAUGCCUGAGGAGUUAGGUGACAAAGAGAAUAUGCGAGUGUUCGUUUUCUUUGUUGAUCGGAGAAGAGAGUGAUCAACUGUGAAGGCUGCACAGAAAGCUACAUACAAAGCUAAUUUGAAAACAAACUUCUCAUGUAAGCUGCUGUAAUGUAAUGGGAGAAGCUUUUAUGUGCACAUGUUGUGGGGCCCAUUGUAGUGAAGCUGGCAUUUGUUUUAGACAUGCACGUAAGCAGUGGUAAAUUCGUUAUUACGAAGCUCAGCAGGGUCAAAUUGUUAGCUGAGGAGCACUGUAGUAUUCACGCUUGAGAAACUAUAAUAUAGAUAUAGAUAUAGAUAGAUAGAUAGAUAGAUAAGAGCGAAUGUGUAACAUGGGUUCAGUGUAAUCAAUCAAUCUGAAGAUGAAUCUUACAUACGAUCGCGAUAUAUGCCCGGCCGAAUGGGUGGAAAUGGUGAAAGAUGCACAGAUUCGGGACGGGAAGCGUAAGUAUCAACCACCGCCAGAGUCGCCGGAAACUGAAGUUCCAAAGAGGUCAAUUCGCGAUAUUCUCUUAAAUCCAAGUCAUCCAUGGGGCUAUGAUAAACUUGGCAAGACUAACCUAUUCCAUCUUUUCACUGCCGCCGGUACACAAUGCCUGUACACAAGGAAAGGCGAUGCGGUAAAGUUUAAUGCUAAUUUAUAUUUUAAUUGUUGUAGAUUUUAACUGUUAUUCGUGUUCGAGGAAUUAUUUGUAAAUUCUAAUUCUAAUUGUGUUGGUUGUUAUUGUUAUUAAAAUUGGAAUCAAGUAUGCUAAAUUUUAGUUUCAAAAAAAAAAAAAAAAAAUAUGCUAAAUUUUCAGCUUAAGGUUAUAAUAAUAAUACGGAAUUAUUAUUAUUAUUAUUAUUAUUAUUAUUAUUAUUAUUAUUAUUAUUAUUAUUAUUAUAUUGUGUUUCAUGGUGUAUCUUAAUUUGUCGGAUUCCGUCAAUUCUAUGAUUGAGUAUUCUGUGUUCCCCUCUCAGGUUAGGGUUGACCAACUCCGGGACAAAUUUGUUAUUCUCUAUCUCUUGAGAGAUGAUGUCCGGAAUGUGGCUACUUGUCCAGAAUAUAUACCCGACUUGAUUGAAACUUACCAAAUUUACGGCAAAUCUGAGCUUGAGAUUGUCUUUAUUUGGCUUGGUGAUGACAAGGAGGCUUUUUCUAAUCAGUUCUAUAUGCCGUGGCUUGCUGUCUUACCAGAGGAUGAGAGAACGGUCAAUGUCCUUACGGAGGAGUUUGACUUUAUAGGCCCUGUGUGCUUCCUUCUUUUUGACCGCAAUGGCUUCUUGUGUCUUUAUGAUGCCAGAGCGAACAUCAAUGCUUAUGGUGUCUUAGGCUUUCCUUUUACCCAUGAAAAGAUUGAGGAAGUAGAUAAGGAAGCUGCCAAACUCCUUUCUGAAAUCAUCAAUGGCAAACCAGUUACAUUGCCUGAUAUUUUGGGCGCCCAUGUAAUUUCCCCCACAGGAGACAAGGCAAGUGAACAUUUUAUAUUUCGCGUGCAAGGCACAGAUUGAUCAUUCAUACCAAAGUAUAUUAGAUGUAUUUCGCAAGUCCACAUUUUCAUUCCCAUUUGUCGGGAAUCUCUCCAUAUGUUGUGGCUGACCAUCCAUGUUCAUGUAUUUUUGCAGGUACCUACCUCCGACUUAAUAAAUAAGACCGUGGGUCUUUACAUGUUGAAUGAAUAUCCAUCUCGUAUUAUCCUUGAGGAGUUGAAACGUAUCUGUGAGGAUAAGAAAGAGGAUUUUGUCUUAAUUCCCAUCAUCACAUCGUACCAUUCCUCAUGGUCAUGGAUCAGAGCCGGAUGCAGCCAUCUCGAACGUAGCAUCCCUUGGUACACUCUGCCCGCUAUUAAGUGUCGCUACUUGAAUACAGUUUUCCAUAAUAAACUUAAGGAGCCGUAUUUUUCGUAUGGAGCAUGUGAUCUAGUUAUUCUUAAAGGCGAUAAGCAUAUUCCUGUCAGCUAUUUUGCCUUGCACAUCUUUGCAUGCUUCGGAGUUGAUGCCUACCCGUUUACCAUAGAAAACGCCGUGCAAGUGGCAAAGAAGGAACAACAAGGCAACAUAGUACUGAAGGAAAUAUUAUCGUCCAAGUCUAUUUUACGUAGACAAGAUUCAGCCGGCAGUGAGGUAUGUGUCAUUAUUUAUGAGCACUAUCUCGCAUGAUAUAGUUUUUGUUUUUAUUAUCAUAUUAUUUUAUUGAAGAUAAUAGUUUUUGUUAUUUUCAAUCACAUACUAUUUUAUUGAAACGUCUUCUGAAACUUGUACUAAUAAUCUGCCUGGCAGGAAGUGAUCACUGUUUCAGAGCUCGAUGGUAGACAUGUCUUAUUAUUGUUUGGGACUCAUGGUUGUGAGUGGGAAUCAUUUUUGUCUACCAUAAAGAAUUGGUAUGUUGACAAGCCACAUGAUGUUGACUUCGAGAUUAUCUACAUUCAUUUGGAUAUCAGUUUAGAAUCUACUUCCUUCUCAAGCACUAUUGAGAAAAUGCCUUGGGUGGUCCACUCGUCUAAACCAGAGGUUGCAGUUUCCUUGUUCGAGUGUGUGUUUCCCAUAUCUGCACACCUCCCUGCCAUUGCAGCCUUUGGGGUAAAUGGGCAUCUAGAAACAAAAGGAUCAGACUUAGCUUCUAAUGAUAAGUUGGUCUCUCAGUAUCCAUUUAUACAGGCUGAUAUGUAUGAUGAGGUUUAUCAAGAACUAAAAGACGAGCACGGAUGGGACUUGAAAAAUCUCUUUCCCACUCCUGCAGAGAUAGAGAUCAGCUCUUUAAUGUACAGACGGAUUUAUGGAUAAAUCAGUCAGAUGGCGCAAGAAAGAUCAGUUUUGCUAGUCUGACUAAAAGUUUCUUGUUUUUGUAGUCGUAGUCGCUCUCUUUGGCUACAAUUCAAACCCCAUCAGUUAGCUGCUGGAGCUGCAUAUCUUGCUGCAAAGUCUAUGAACAUGGAUCUCACUUCAUCGCAGCAUCUCUGGCAAGUGUUCCAGACACCACCCUCUGUACUUAAAGGUAUGUGUACAAUUAAUGUUCAGGUAUAUUUUUCUAGGUUUGCUUACAAUCUGCUGUUGUUUUGAAUUAAGGGCAUAGACCAUGGGGAAAUAUGUUACUUGCCAAGUUUUAUACAUAGAACUUUAUUGUAUUAUUCAUGUCAACAUUUUUGUCUACCUAUGAAUUAUACUUGCUUGUAUAAAGGUUAUGACAUGCAGUGGUUUUUUUAAUCAGAUGUCCUCCAGCAAUUAAUGGAGCUCUUUUAGAAGAUAGCAUGGAAGACAAGUACAGUGGGUCAGUGACGUGUGAGUUGUAUCAGUAAUUUUUAGGAUGGCAUGUCGUUCAUAUACAUGAUGUGGGGUCAUCAGUGUUUAGGUGUAUAUAUAUAUAGUAAAGCAGCUAUGAAGGAGAGUUUUUGUUUAGAGAUAAUAUUACUGAUUGAAGGAAAUUUCAAUCUACUGAUGAUGCUCAUAUUGCUGUGAGUAAAGAUUAU